Small nuclear RNA from Tauraco erythrolophus (red-crested turaco), 156 nucleotides. It matches the Rfam family "U1 spliceosomal RNA". From Rfam's summary of the family: U1 is a small nuclear RNA (snRNA) component of the spliceosome (involved in pre-mRNA splicing). The record is from Rfam. NCBI's taxonomy places the organism in Eukaryota, Metazoa, Chordata, Aves, Musophagiformes, Musophagidae.
UUACUUACCUGGUGGGGGAGACACCACGAUCAGGCAGGUGGUCUUCCCAGGGAGAGGCUCAUUCCCUGCACCCCGGGUGUGCCGACCUCUACAAUUUCCCCAAAUGCAGGAAACUCGACUGCAUAAUUUGUGGUAGUGGGGGACUGCGUUCCCUGA